GUGCUCGCUUCAGCAGCACAUAAUACUAAAAUUGGAACGAUGCAGAGAUUAACAUGGCCUCUGCGCAAGGAUGACAAGCAAAUUUGUGAAUCAUUCCAUAUUUAA
Molecule: small nuclear RNA, 105 nt
Organism: Pan paniscus (pygmy chimpanzee)
Lineage: Eukaryota; Metazoa; Chordata; Mammalia; Primates; Hominidae
Source: Ensembl